RNAcentral lists this ribosomal RNA (878 nucleotides) under Chromohalobacter canadensis. RNAcentral describes it as "bacterial SSU rRNA". It matches the Rfam family "Bacterial small subunit ribosomal RNA", at positions 56 to 927 of the family's 1533-position model. Lineage: Bacteria; Pseudomonadati; Pseudomonadota; Gammaproteobacteria; Oceanospirillales; Halomonadaceae. The record is from RNAcentral.
UGCAGUCGAGCGGAACGAUCCUAGCUUGCUAGGAGGCGUCGAGCGGCGGACGGGUGAGUAAUGCAUAGGAAUCUACCCAGUCGUGGGGGAUAACCUGAGGAAACUCAGGCUAAUACCGCAUACGUCCUACGGGAGAAAGCGGGGGCUCUUCGGACCUCGUGCGAUUGGAUGAGCCUAUGUCGGAUUAGCUAGUUGGUAAGGUAACGGCUUACCAAGGCGACGAUCCGUAGCUGGUCUGAGAGGAUGAUCAGCCACACCGGGACUGAGACACGGCCCGGACUCCUACGGGAGGCAGCAGUGGGGAAUAUUGGACAAUGGGCGAAAGCCUGAUCCAGCCAUGCCGCGUGUGUGAAGAAGGCUUUCGGGUUGUAAAGCACUUUCAGCGAGGAAGAAAGCGUGCCGUUUAAUACACGGUACGGACGACAUCACUCGCAGAAGAAGCACCGGCUAACUCCGUGCCAGCAGCCGCGGUAAUACGGAGGGUGCAAGCGUUAAUCGGAAUUACUGGGCGUAAAGCGCGCGUAGGCGGCGUGUCACGCCGGGUGUGAAAGCCCCGGGCUCAACCUGGGAACGGCAUCCGGAACGGGCAGGCUAGAGUGCAGGAGAGGAAGGUAGAAUUCCCGGUGUAGCGGUGAAAUGCGUAGAGAUCGGGAGGAAUACCAGUGGCGAAGGCGGCCUUCUGGACUGACACUGACGCUGAGGUGCGAAAGCGUGGGUAGCAAACAGGAUUAGAUACCCUGGUAGUCCACGCCGUAAACGAUGUCGACUAGCCGUUGGGUCCCUUGAGGACUUAGUGGCGCAGUUAACGCGAUAAGUCGACCGCCUGGGGAGUACGGCCGCAAGGUUAAAACUCAAAUGAAUUGACGGGGGCCCGCACA